Molecule: long non-coding RNA, 566 nt
Filed under: Salmo salar (Atlantic salmon)
Lineage: Eukaryota; Metazoa; Chordata; Actinopteri; Salmoniformes; Salmonidae
Description: lncRNA (ENSSSAG00000111354.1)
Source: RNAcentral
GUCGCCUGCAGUCCGUGGAGAAAAGUAGCUUUUUUUUCUGGUAAAGUUACACUGGGUACAUGGGCCACAUCAAUCAUUACCGUCCGGCACAUUGUCUAGGAAAGUACUACGUGGCUGUGGUGGAAGAUCAGACCUCACCACCAUUUGACUGAUGUUGGGGGCGUGUCUGAAGGCUACCCGUCGGGGUUCUUUAAUCGUCUUUUCCAGUUGUGGAUCAAUGAUCAAGACGUGCCAGUGUUUUAAUGAUGUGGUCCAACUGUUUACCAAGUGGGGAGAACUGAAGGAAGCAUUGAACAUGUUGGUCUGGAGGGAGGGAGGUUUGGGGAGAACUGAAGGAAGCAUUGAACAUGUUGGUCUGGAGGGAGGGGAGGUUUGGGGAGAACUGAAGGAAGCAUUGAACAUGUUGGUCUGGAGGGAGGGGAGGUUUGGGGAGUACUGAAGGAAGCAUUGAACAUGUUGGUCUGAAGGGAGGGGAGGUUUGGGGAGUACUGAAGGAAGCAUUGAACAUGUUGGUCUGGAGGGAGGGGAGGUUUGGGGAGAACUGAAGGAAGCAUUGAACAUGUUGG